This 28-nucleotide non-coding RNA is filed under the name Mus musculus (house mouse). The record is from RNAcentral. Lineage: Eukaryota; Metazoa; Chordata; Mammalia; Rodentia; Muridae.
UAAAAGCAGGCACCGGGAGGAGAAUACA